GAUGAACGCUGGCGGCGUGCCUAAUACAUGCAAGUCGAGCGAACGGACGAGAAGCUUGCUUCUCUGAUGUUAGCGGCGGACGGGUGAGUAACACGUGGAUAACCUACCUAUAAGACUGGGAUAACUUCGGGAAACCGGAGCUAAUACCGGAUAAUAUUUUGAACCGCAUGGUUCAAAAGUGAAAGACGGUCUUGCUGUCACUUAUAGAUGGAUCCGCGCUGCAUUAGCUAGUUGGUAAGGUAACGGCUUACCAAGGCAACGAUGCAUAGCCGACCUGAGAGGGUGAUCGGCCACACUGGAACUGAGACACGGCCCAGACUCCUACGGGGGGCAGCAGUAGGGAAUCUUCCGCAAUGGGCGAAAGCCUGACGGAGCAACGCCGCGUGAGUGAUGAAGGUCUUCGGAUCGUAAAACUCUGUUAUUAGGGAAGAACAUAUGUGUAAGUAACUGUGCACAUCUUGACGGUACCUAAUCAGAAAGCCACGGCUAACUACGUG
RNAcentral lists this ribosomal RNA (497 nucleotides) under uncultured bacterium. Its description in RNAcentral is "partial 16S ribosomal RNA". It matches the Rfam family "Bacterial small subunit ribosomal RNA", at positions 28 to 507 of the family's 1533-position model. The record is from RNAcentral.